This 345-nucleotide ribosomal RNA is filed under the name Geotrichum candidum. RNAcentral's name for it is "partial large subunit ribosomal RNA". It matches the Rfam family "Eukaryotic large subunit ribosomal RNA", at positions 72 to 431 of the family's 3401-position model. The record is from RNAcentral. Lineage: Eukaryota; Fungi; Ascomycota; Dipodascomycetes; Dipodascales; Dipodascaceae.
GGAUUGCCUUAGUAACGGCGAGUGAAGCGGCAAAAGCUCAAAUUUGAAAUCGGCCACCAGGUCGAGUUGUAAUUUGUAGAUUGUAUCUUGAGAGCGGAUUAAAGUCUGUUGGAACACAGCGCCUUAGAGGGUGACAGCCCCGUAAAAUCUAUUCUCAUUGUAAGAUACUUUCGAAGAGUCGAGUUGUUUGGGAAUGCAGCUCUAAGUGGGAGGUAAAUUCCUUCUAAAGCUAAAUAUUGACGAGAGACCGAUAGCGAACAAGUACUGUGAAGGAAAGAUGAAAAGCACUUUGAAAAGAGAGUGAAAAAGUACGUGAAAUUGUUAAAAGGGAAGGGUAUUGAAUCA